Molecule: long non-coding RNA, 295 nt
Filed under: Panax ginseng (ginseng)
Lineage: Eukaryota; Viridiplantae; Streptophyta; Magnoliopsida; Apiales; Araliaceae
Description: long non-coding RNA (PGIN_LNC010074)
Source: RNAcentral
UUUAAUUAGAUCAUCAUCAAUGCUCCCUCUAUUGCCAAAUUUAUUGCUCCCAUUUGAAAUAUUUGCCAUUUGGGGCAUCUAAUUUAUCACAACCACCAAUUAAUCCUCUCUCUCCCCUUCUCUCCAUCUUUCUUUAGUUUUUUUGACGGCAAGAACUAGAUAACAACUGAAAUCUCCAUCAAAACUAGAUACCAACUUGCUUAUAAGCUGUUAAAUUUCUUGGGUUUUCCAUUUAGCUAAAUAUUUGGUCAUUUGGUAGAUGGGAUUCUUGUUAACACAUGCUUCAACUGUAAAG